GUAAAGAGCUCGUAGGUGGUUUGUCGCGUUGUUCGUGAAAACUCACAGCUUAACUGUGGGCGUGCGGGCGAUACGGGCAGACUAGAGUACUGCAGGGGAGACUGGAAUUCCUGGUGUAGCGGUGGAAUGCGCAGAUAUCAGGAGGAACACCGGUGGCGAAGGCGGGUCUCUGGGCAGUAACUGACGCUGAGGAGCGAAAGCGUGGGGAGCGAACAGGAUUAGAUACCCUGGUAGUCCACGCCGUAAACGAUGGGUACUAGGUGUGGGUUUCCUUCCUUGGGAUCCGUGCCGUAGCUAACGCAUUAAGUACCCCGCCUGGGGAGUACGGCCGCAAGGCUAAAACUCAAAGGAAUUGACGGGGGCCCGCACAAGCGGCGGAGCAUGUGGAUUAAUUCGAUGCAACGCGAAGAACCUUACCUGGGUUUGACAUGCACAGGACGCGUCUAGAGAUAGGCGUUCCCUUGUGGCCUGUGUGCAGGUGGUGCAUGGCUGUCGUCAGCUCGUGUCGUGAGGUGUUGGGUUAAGUCCCGCAACGAGCGCAACCCCCGUCUCAUGUUGCCAGCGGGUAAUGCCGGGGACUCGUGAGAGACUGCCGGGGUCAACUCGGAGGAAGGUGGGGAUGACGUCAAGUCAUCAUGCCCCUUAUGUCCAGGGCUUCACAUAUGCUACAAUGGCCGGUACAAAGGGCUGCGAUGCCGCAAGGUUAAGCGAAUCCUUUUAAAGCCGGUCUCAGUUCGGAUCGGGGUCUGCAACUCGACCCCGUGAAGUCGGAGUCGCU
Molecule: ribosomal RNA, 778 nt
Filed under: uncultured Mycobacterium sp.
Lineage: Bacteria; Bacillati; Actinomycetota; Actinomycetes; Mycobacteriales; Mycobacteriaceae
Description: bacterial SSU rRNA
Rfam family: Bacterial small subunit ribosomal RNA
Source: RNAcentral